Molecule: long non-coding RNA, 1916 nt
Filed under: Homo sapiens (human)
Lineage: Eukaryota; Metazoa; Chordata; Mammalia; Primates; Hominidae
Description: PREDICTED lncRNA (TCONS_00222788)
Source: RNAcentral
GGGCGGGGCCUGCCGCCGCCACCGCCUCAGGGAAGAGGAAGGAGGCCGCGGCUUCGCGUCCCGCCUCUCGCCUGGCUGGCCGUGGGGGGCCUGGACGCAGUGGCCUCCCGAAUCUCCCAGGACCCUAAUAUCGCCCGAGGAUGCUGGGAGGAACGCUGAGCCGACCUCUCCGUUAGGCUGAAGAUUGCACAAACCAUGCUAAUGGCCAGCAUGGAUGGAGGGAGCGUGUGAGAUGUGUGGGGCAGCGUGCUGCAUCUCAGCCAACUCCAGGAGCCAGUUGAUGUGAUGGACUACCUUAAUUGAUUUUUGAAUGUUGAGCCAGCCUUAUGCAUGUGGGAUAAACCCCUGUUGAUCAUGGCUGGCUGGAGUGCAGUGGUGCAAUCAUGGCUCACUGCAACCUCAAAUUCCUGGGCUCAAGGGAUCCUCCUGCCUCAGCCUCCCAAGUAGCUAGGACUACAGAUGGAACGAAGUCUGUUUGUGGAAACACCCUUCCCCUCUGUUUACUUGGACCUGAUUUUGAAAGUAACAAGUCACUUUAUUUGGGCUGGAGGAAAAAGCACUAAACCAGAUGUUGAGGUGACCGGGAUUCCUGGAAGACAUUCUUCUCUCCAACGAGACACAUGAUGCAUGAAGUAGGAGCCCCUGGCAAGGAGCCCAGGCUGCCAUGGCCUCGCUCGCUCCUGCUUCCCGGCAUGGCCCCGAGGCUAGCUGCCUCUGUACUGCCUGAGCAUCGUCCCCUGGCGUGUCACCAGACUACCCACUACCUGUGCUUGCACCUGCAGGUGGGCAGUUCAGUCGUUGCAGGCUGAAGCUCCCUGUCACAGGAGUCCAUCAGCACUGGAGUUUACCAAAUGGCCCAGUCCAGGAAGCAUGCUCAUGGCAAUACCCGGAGUCUCCACUGCAAGACCAGAGUGACGGAGGCAGCAGAGCUCCUCAGCAGGCCAGGAGUCUCCAGAGGCACUGCCGAAUGUCUAAGAAGCAACCUCAUUGUAUUCCCAAGACCUGGGAAUCCAGGUCUCGCAGAUACGAUGAUACAAUCUAUAGCCAGGACAUCUCUUCAUGUGUAGUUUUCAAUGAAUACUAGGAUAAGCAACUAUCCCAGUCUUCCCAGGAUUGAGGGGCUUCUCCAGAUGCUGCACUUCUGGUGCUAAAAAUGAGAAACUGAAAUGAAUUAGUCACCCAAGGAAUGCUGACCCUGUGCUAUAUGAUCACAUUUACUCUUUAAAGCAAUGCUUUGAGGCCAAGCUAUAAAUAAAGGGUGGACUGACCUUGUCAACUGUUAAAUUGGAGCCGUGGUGCGUUGCCUAGAACAUUGCGGAUGACCCCGAGCAGCACAGCAGAUCAACGGCUGAGAAAGAGCUCAUUCAGCUCAUCUAACUAGGAUGCUGUCCUGCCAGAGCCCUGGGGGUUCUCGUCUCCUGGGGCAAAAGCAGCAUGCAACCCUUAUGAACCCAUCUUGGAAGGCAUUCGGGGAGCCCAAGACAAGACCAUUGGGAGCCUCAGGGUCACUUGUGGGGGUCUCUGUGCUGGACGGCUGUACCUCUCAUGAAAUGGACAACUGACCAUAAGAAGGAGGUAAGUUACGCAUGGACGGGAAAAUAAGAAGCUCCUACUUAGGGCUGUGAUAUGUGCGGUAACCAUUUAACGUUAAUAGCAUCCAUGUGAGACAGGUGCUAGUACUGCCCCAUUUCAUAUUGGCGGACAUUGAGGCACACAGACUGUAUGACUUGCCCAAGGCUGCCCACCUGGUUAGGGGAGCUCCAGGAUUCCAAUCCAGUCCGAACUCAACACGAGGGGUGGCACCUACAGGCUGGGGUCAAUCUGGAAGACUGCCUGUUGUAUGGCCUGGCAACUAAAAAUUGUUUUUUACAUUUUUAAAUGGUUGACAAAAUUAAAAUAAGAGAAUAUUUCAUGAC